Molecule: long non-coding RNA, 1291 nt
Organism: Meriones unguiculatus (Mongolian gerbil)
Lineage: Eukaryota; Metazoa; Chordata; Mammalia; Rodentia; Muridae
Exons: 4
Source: RefSeq, a predicted model, not a curated record
CAAGCGUGAGCCACCACGCCCAGCCAGCAAAUUUAACCUCUAUAAUUAGGGCCCCCGGAAAUAAAAAGAAGCGGGCGUGUGUCACGGAGUAUGCACGCUCUCUGGAACGACCCUCUAAAGAAGGGCAGACAGGAGAGGCUGCCGGAGUGCCCGCCUCUCUGCUCUUCCUGCGCGCUGCACGGAUAAGGAAUGGUGAUGCUCGGGUUUCCUUAAAGAGCGCCAGACCCAGCGGGCUUUGCACUACAGAACUGGCUUUUCAAGCAAGAGCUUGCCGUGAGGCCUAAAUCUACCAUUAUGCUGAGUCCAGCCUCACCACCUGUUUCAGAGAAGCCUUCCUGGAUAAGCCCGUCACUGGAGAGGCUGGACGACUGCCCGGAGAUGAAGGCCAGUCUGGGACACACAGGGAGAUAAACUUAACCAUCCCAGCUCCACCUGCUGUCAGCUUGGCUCAUAUAAACAUCUCCGUCAAACAAUGGGAUGACUGAGGUUAAAAAAAAAAAUAUAUGCCCUGUAGGAGUCAGGAUUGGCCUGGCCCUAAGAUGAACUGAAGUCACUUGGACUGUGACAUCACUCAUAAGGAUGGGUAUCACAGCCUAAAAGUAAUGCUCAAGGUUUUUAAGGGGAAAGGACAUUGUUUAAGGGGAAGGAAUAUUGUCUGCGGCAAGUAAAUUCUGGGAGAUAAGGGAGGAGCAUGUCUUAUCAGCCAACAAAAGAUCACCAGGUUGUAAAACUGCAUCAUUUUCCCGGCAUUCCAGGAAGACCAGCUCUGUCCACUGAAGAGAACAAAAGGACCAGACACCGGAGAUAUUGGAUCAAACCUGACAGAAUUCAUCUUUUCAGUGUUCUGAGACAUUGACACAUCUGUUCCAGCACCUUGCAUGUUCCAGCAUUCUGCUUGUUCCUGCCUCAACUGCUUCAAUUGCUGUUUCUCAUCAAAGCCUGCUCCCAAGAGAUCUUUGAAGAAAGGUGUAGGAUAUGGGACUGAUUCAGAUUGUCCACAACAGCAAAGUAUUCACCUCAUGCCGACUCUGAGAGAGGCUCUUUGCCAGAUGCAGAUAGUUUAACUCUGAGAACUCUGGAGAGGGAAUAAAUGCCAGAGCCCAGAGAGUGUUGGGGAGCUCCGAGAAAGAAGGCUGCUGGUGCCCACCCACCCCAAUCUGCUACUCCUGGUUGCUAUUGAUGUAGUUUGAUGAGAAGACGUUGGAGAUAUACCAAAAUGAAGAGUGGACUUCCCACAAGGAACCUGAUGACUCUAACCAGCAGGAAGGAGCUAAAGGGAACUCUGCCCCAU